Molecule: long non-coding RNA, 1112 nt
Organism: Rhopalosiphum padi (bird cherry-oat aphid)
Lineage: Eukaryota; Metazoa; Arthropoda; Insecta; Hemiptera; Aphididae
Exons: 3
Source: RefSeq, a predicted model, not a curated record
GUGAAUUGUAAAAUUUGUCGGAAAAACUAUCAUAGAUUUCACAUCUUUUUCUUUUAUAUACUCGUAUUAUUACAAUAAAUGUGAAAAAUAGUCACGUUCACAAUAUAUAGGAUAGCAGCGGUGGCAUAGAAAAAAGAUCUAGGUGUGGUCGCCGCAGCCUAACGAUUGAUUAUAUUAAUUAUUCAUUAUUAUUAACCAAUUUUUUUUUUUGUUCACAGUCGAUAUAAAUAUACGAAUUCCGGAGUAUUCAUGAGCGUGGAGAGUCCCGCCCCCAUCAGCACGCGUACUUAUUCUUGCGUGGAUUAACCAAUGGUGACCGCUAUGUGAACGUACAUCAAGACUAUGGGGAUUUAUGAAUACUGUUAUCGAUCGACAUUCACCUGUAGAGCUUUAAUAUUACCAUAAAGAAAUUGAACGCGUUGGUCGGUAAAAAUCGCGGUAGGUAAAGUAAGUACAUUUCCGUUAGUCCGGUGGACUACAGAGAAAGUUCCGAUGCGGUACCGGAGCAGGCAAUCACCGAUGUCCCAGUUCAAAUGUCAAAUAACAACAAUGGCGAUUUAUUGACGACAGAAACCGUGUGAUUGUGGCUCGCAGUAAUGAAAUCAUCAGUGCAAACGCAGUAGUUAUCGGCGGCGACCGGAUGCAGACAUGACGGACGCCUUUGUAUAUAUAGGGAACAUGCUUGAUCGGAAGACAGCGUGCUAUCACUGCAGCUAUCGUUGUUUAUGUAUACACGCGUAAUUCACUCACUUGAUUUGUUUAUUACAAUAUAACACCUCCACUGGGUUAUGUAUGUGUGUACAAAAAUGGAGGUUCAAUCCAAGUUCAAACGAAAAAAAUUAUCUUGUUUUUGUUCCAAUAAUACUGUGUGCGGAUUGAAUCAUUUUAUGCAAUCUAUCAUAAUAUACUAAUUACUAAUAUAAUAUUUUAGAUUACAUUAAAUGAUAUUAUUGUAUAAGGUAUAAAUUAAACGAAUAUUAUAUAAAUUUUUAUGCAUCGACAUGAUGCAUAUACAAUUUCCGAAACAAUUCAAAAUUCGUCAUAAUGUCAUAUUAUUGAACAUUUCCAUACUCAUUCCUGGUGUUAUUAUUAUAAUUUAAUAAAACUUAUUA